Molecule: ribosomal RNA, 433 nt
Filed under: uncultured bacterium
Lineage: Bacteria
Description: partial 16S ribosomal RNA
Rfam family: Bacterial small subunit ribosomal RNA
Source: RNAcentral
AACGAACGCUGGCGGCAUGCCUAACACAUGCAAGUCGAACGAGACCUUCGGGUCUCGUGGCGCACGUGUGCGUACCGCGGGGGAACCUGCCCUUGGGUUCGGAAUAACUUCCCGAAAGGAGUGCUAAUACCGGCUGAUGUCCUCGGUCUAAAGAUUUAUCGCCUUUGGAUGGGCCCGCGUUGGUUUAGCUAGUUGGUAGGGUAAAAGCCUACCAAGGCGCCGAUCCAUAGCUGGUCUGAGAGGAUGAGCAGCGACACUGGGACUGAGACACGGCCCAGACUCCGACGGGAGGCAGCAGUGGGGAAUAUUGGACAAGGGGCGAAAGCUGGAUCCAGCAAGGCCGCGGGAGUGAUGAAGGCCUUAGGGUUGUAAAGCUCUUUUACCCGGGAGGAUAAUGACAGUACCGGGAGAAUAAGCACCGGCUAACUCCGUG